RNAcentral lists this ribosomal RNA (294 nucleotides) under Bacteroidota bacterium. Its description in RNAcentral is "Bacteroidetes bacterium (marine metagenome) partial 16S ribosomal RNA". It matches the Rfam family "Bacterial small subunit ribosomal RNA", at positions 1 to 300 of the family's 1533-position model. The record is from RNAcentral. Lineage: Bacteria; Pseudomonadati; Bacteroidota.
UGGAGAGUUUGAUCCUGGCUCAGGAUGAACGCUAGCGGGAGGCCUAAUACAUGCAAGUCGAACGGUAAGGCUCCUUCGGGAGUACACGAGUGGCGGACGGGUGCGUAACGCGUACGAAAUAUACCUUCAACAGGGAGAUACCCCCGGGAAACUGGGAUUAAUACCCCAUAGUAUUAUUGAAUCGCAUGAUUUAAUAAUUAAAGCUUUGGCGGUUGAAGAUUAUCGUGCGUCUGAUUAGUUAGUUGGUAAGGUAACGGCUUACCAAGACGAUGAUCAGUAGCUGGUCUGAGAGGA